GGGCCGUUAGCUCAGUUGGUAGAGCAGUUGGCUUUUAACCAAUUGGUCGAAGGUUCGAAUCCUUCACGGCCCA
Shewanella violacea DSS12 is the source of this 73-nucleotide transfer RNA. It matches the Rfam family "tRNA". From Rfam's summary of the family: Transfer RNA (tRNA) molecules are approximately 80 nucleotides in length. Their secondary structure includes four short double-helical elements and three loops (D, anti-codon, and T loops). NCBI's taxonomy places the organism in Bacteria, Pseudomonadati, Pseudomonadota, Gammaproteobacteria, Alteromonadales, Shewanellaceae. The record is from Rfam.